GACGGACGCUGGCGGCGUGCUUAACACAUGCAAGUCGUACGGUAAGGCCCUUUCGGGGGUACACGAGUGGAGAACGGGUGAGUAACACGUGAGUAACUUGCUCACAACUUUGGGAUAACGCUAGGAAACUGGUGCUAAGACUGGAUAUGUGUCCCUGCUGCAUGGUGGGGGUUGGAAAGCUUCGGCGGUUGUGGAUGGACUCGCGGCCUAUCAGCUUGUUGGUGGGGUAGUGGCCUACCAAGGCGGCGACGGGUAGCCGGCCUGAGAGGGUGACCGGCCACAUUGGGACUGAGAUACGGCCCAGACUCCUACGGGAGGCAGCAGUGGGGAAUAUUGCACAAUGGGCGCAAGCCUGAUGCAGCAACGCCGCGUGCGGGAUGACGGCCUUCGGGUUGUAAACCGCUUUCAGCAGGGACGAAGCUUUUUGUGACGGUACCUGCAGAAGAAGCACCGGCUAACUACGUG
RNAcentral lists this ribosomal RNA (465 nucleotides) under uncultured bacterium. Its description in RNAcentral is "partial 16S ribosomal RNA". It matches the Rfam family "Bacterial small subunit ribosomal RNA", at positions 28 to 507 of the family's 1533-position model. The record is from RNAcentral.